Molecule: ribosomal RNA, 1017 nt
Filed under: Triticum aestivum (bread wheat)
Lineage: Eukaryota; Viridiplantae; Streptophyta; Magnoliopsida; Poales; Poaceae
Description: partial small subunit ribosomal RNA
Source: RNAcentral
AUGCGCGACGUGGCGACCGUUGACGGCGCCUCCUCGGCCGCCUCCGUCGUCGUCGACCACCGCGACACCGCCCCGCUCAACCGCUCCUCCCGCCGCGCUCAUCACUCCUCGUCGUCGUCGGCCGGCGGGGGUGGGCACCCGUCCUCACUCCGGGGGCUCUCCGGCUGCUACGAGUGCCGCGCCAUCAACGUCGAGCCCGUCUCAAGGAGGUACCCUCGGCCGAGGGAGCUGUGCCCGUGCUCGCAGUGCGGCGAGGUGUUCACCAAGGCCGACAGCUUGGAGCAGCACCAAGCCGUCCGCCAUGCCGUGUCGGAGCUGGGGCCGGAGGACUCGGGGCGCAACAUCGUGGAGAUCAUCUUCAAGUCGAGCUGGCAGAAGCGGGACCGCCCCAUCUGCCACAUCGACCGCAUCCUCAAGGUCCGCAACCCCGCGCGCACCGUCGCCCGCUUCGAGGCCUACCGCGACGCCGUGCGCGCACGGUGCCGUGCCGACGUCUCUGCGGGCGGUGCCACGCGCGCCGCGGCCGACGGCAACGAGCUGCUCCGGUUCCACCCGGCCGCGCUCGCCUGCGAGCUCGGCGCUGACGGCUCCACCUCGCUGUGCGCGUCCUGUGCCGAUGGUGACGUCGACGGCAAAACGGCGGCCGCGGCGUGCGGGGUGUGCGCGGCGAUCCGGCACGGCUUCGCGCCUUGGGCCGGCGCGCACCCGCUGGGCGUGCGCACCACGGCGAGCAGCGGCCGCGCGCACGACGUCUGCGGCGCCGAGGGCCCGAGCGCGGGAGCGGGGGCGGGGUGGCGGGCCAUGCUGGUGUGCCGGGUGAUCGCCGGGCAGGUGCGGCGGCGGGACGGCGACGGGGAGGAGAAGGAGGAGGAGGGCCAGGCGGUGCCUUUCGACUCGGUGGCCGGCGACGACGCGGGCGGCGCGUACGGGGUGCUGGAGGAGCUGUUCGUGGCGAACCCCAGGGCCAUCCUGCCGUGCUUCGUCGUCGUCUACCGCGUCGACGUCGACCCUCAGUGA